GGAAUAUUGCACAAUGGGCGCAAGCCUGAUGCAGCGACGCCGCGUGGGGGAUGACGGCCUUCGGGUUGUAAACCUCUUUCAGUACCGACGAAGCGCAAGUGACGGUAGGUACAGAAGAAGCACCGGCCAACUACGUGCCAGCAGCCGCGGUAAUACGUAGGGUGCGAGCGUUGUCCGGAAUUACUGGGCGUAAAGAGCUCGUAGGUGGUUUGUCGCGUUGUUCGUGAAAACCCACGGCUUAACCGUGGGCGUGCGGGCGAUACGGGCAGACUGGAGUACUGCAGGGGAGACUGGAAUUCCUGGUGUAGCGGUGGAAUGCGCAGAUAUCAGGAGGAACACCGGUGGCGAAGGCGGGUCUCUGGGCAGUAACUGACGCUGAGGAGCGAAAGCGUGGGGAGCGAACAGGAUUAGAUACCCUGGUAGUCCACGCCGUAAACGGUGGGUACUAGGUGUGGGUUUCCUUCCUUGGGAUCCGUGCCGUAGCUAACGCAUUAAGUACCCCGCCUGGGGAGUACGGCCGCAAGGCUAAAACUCAAAGGAAUUGACGG
This 548-nucleotide ribosomal RNA is filed under the name uncultured bacterium. Its description in RNAcentral is "bacterial SSU rRNA". It matches the Rfam family "Bacterial small subunit ribosomal RNA", at positions 358 to 916 of the family's 1533-position model. The record is from RNAcentral.